RNAcentral lists this ribosomal RNA (490 nucleotides) under uncultured bacterium. RNAcentral describes it as "partial 16S ribosomal RNA". It matches the Rfam family "Bacterial small subunit ribosomal RNA", at positions 30 to 507 of the family's 1533-position model. The record is from RNAcentral.
AUUGAACGCUGGCGGCAGGCCUAACACAUGCAAGUCGAACGGUAACAGGAAGAAGCUUGCUUCUUUGCUGACGAGUGGCGGACGGGUGAGUCAUGUCUGGGAAACUGCCUGAUGGAGGGGGAUAACUACUGGAAACGGUAGCUAAUACCGCAUAACGUCGCAAGCCCAAAGAGGGGGACCUUCGGGCCCCUUGCCAUCGGAUGUGCCCAGAUGGGAUUGGCCUGUAGGGGGGGUAACGGCUCACCCAGGCGAAGAUCCCUAGCUGGUCUGAGAGGAAGACCAGCAACACGGGAACUGAGACACGGUCCAGACUCCUACGGGAGGCGGCAGUGGGGAAUAUUGCACAAUGGGCGCAAGCCUGGUGCAGCCAUGCCGCGUGUAUGAAGAAGGCCUUCGGGUUGUAAAGUACGUUCAGCGGGGAGGAAGGGAGUAAAGUUAAUACCUUUGCUCAUUGACGUUACCCGCAGAAGAAGCACCGGCUAACUCCGUG